AGCUCGUAGUUGGAUCUCAGGGUACGGACCGCGGUUCCCUUUGUGGGGUCUACUGCGGUGCGGACCUUCAACUCUCUGCGGCUCCGGAUCGCGUGCACUUCAUCGUGUGCCGGUGCGGUCCGCAACGUUUACCUUGAAAAAAUUAGAGUGCUCAAAGCAGGCGCCUCCGCCCGGAUAGUUCAGCAUGGAAUAAUGGAACAGGACCUCGUGUCCCGUUUUGUUGGUCUUCUGGACCGAGGUAAUGAUUAUUAGGAACAGACGGGGGCAUUCGUACUGCGGCGCUAGAGGUGAAAUUCUUGGACCGCCGCAUGACGAACUAGUGCGAAAGCAUUUGCCAAGAAUGUUUCCAUUAAUCAAGAACGAAAGUUAGAGGAUCGAAGGCGAUCAGAUACCGCCGUAGUUCUAACCAUAAACGAUGCCGACCGGCAAUCUGCAAACGAGCUGUUUAUCUUUGCAGGCAGCCCUGGGGAAACCAGAGUUUUCGGGUUAUGGGGGAAGUAUGGUUGCAAAGCUGAAACUUAAAGGAAUUGACGGAAGGGCACCACCAGGAGUGGAGCCUGCGGCUUAAUUUGACUCAACACGGGAAAACUCACCCGGCCCGGACACAGUAAGGAUUGACAGAUUGAGAGCUCUUUCUUGAUUCUGUGGGUGGUGGUGCAUGGCCGUUCUUAGUUGGUGGAGUGAUUUGUCUGGUUAAUUCCGAUAACGAACGAGACUCCAACCUGCUAAAUAGACGGCGUCUCCCGCGCGGAGACGUCAGCCUUCUUAGAGGGACAAUCGGCGUUUAGCCGGAUGAGAUGGAGCAAUAACAGGUCUGUGAUGCCCUUAGAUGUUCGGGGCCGCACGCGCGCUACACUGAAAGAGUCAACGUGUGCCCACCCUACUCCGAAAGGAGCGGGUAACCCUGUGAGCCCCUUUCGUGAUGGGGAUAGGGGAU
RNAcentral lists this ribosomal RNA (937 nucleotides) under Sterreria variabilis. RNAcentral describes it as "bacterial SSU rRNA". It matches the Rfam family "Eukaryotic small subunit ribosomal RNA", at positions 625 to 1584 of the family's 1831-position model. The record is from RNAcentral. Lineage: Eukaryota; Metazoa; Xenacoelomorpha; Nemertodermatida; Nemertodermatidae.